This is a long non-coding RNA of Cyprinus carpio (common carp), 904 nucleotides long. RefSeq lists it as uncharacterized. The transcript is spliced from 3 exons. NCBI's taxonomy places the organism in Eukaryota, Metazoa, Chordata, Actinopteri, Cypriniformes, Cyprinidae. The record is from RefSeq and is a predicted model, not a curated record.
CCUGUAGCGCGCGCUCAAACGCGCCUGACGCAGUUCCACGAUGACCUCAUAUCCUCUGCAUCACUUCCUGUACAUGCUGAGGCAGAACUGGGCAGUCAGGCACAUUUACGCACUCACACUCGUCUGCUGUCAGCAGUACACACGAGCAAAGCCCCGCGUCUCUUUGUCCGCGAUCCUAGCGAUUUCAUCAUGACCCAGAGGUGAUCCUCGUCCCCGGUGGUUCUGGUGUCUUUGUUCAGACGUUUAAAUCCAAGAAAGCGAAAACCUUGAACCACUGGUCACUUUAAUGUUUUCUCUCACUGUGAGCUGCUUGGAAACACUCGGAGUCCAGGUCUGCAGUGAAAGAGCAAGAGAGAGGCCUCUUUAUAGGUGAAGGGAUUACCCAGGGCCACAGCGCCCAGAAUCUGAAGGUAAGGGAACGCUGAUGUGUUCAAAAUCACUUUCCUUUGAUGACUUUUCUGCUGCCCCUUUCCUUUACAACAAAAGCAAAUAAUAGUAAUCUGGAGCUGUCAAGGCAAAAAAAGGCCCUUAAAAGCUGUGUGGUGAGACUUGUGUAGUUAUGUUAUCACGAUUUAUUUGGAUAUACUUUACUAUAAAGAAGUUUUUCAGUCAAAAGUUGAACUACUGAAUGUACAGUAGUAUAAGUUGCUUUUACAUAAAGCCAGUUUUAGUUCAUUCACUAUGAAUAAGUUGAAACGGCUUGAAAUAUCAGGUUUGGUGGUGAGGAUCCAACUAACUUAACUUAAAGCUAGCUUUCUUAACUUAAUGACACAAGGAAAGAACAUUAUUUUUGAGUUGGAACUUGUAUUAUGUUUGAUGGAAGAAUUGCUCAAUUGGAGAUAUAUAUUGAUUGAUUUUGUGUUUAAUUGUUCAUGCUCAUUUAUAGCUAUUUUUGCCUUAAGAU